RNAcentral lists this long non-coding RNA (564 nucleotides) under Phoenix dactylifera (date palm). RNAcentral's name for it is "long non-coding RNA (PDAC_LNC014747)". The record is from RNAcentral. Lineage: Eukaryota; Viridiplantae; Streptophyta; Magnoliopsida; Arecales; Arecaceae.
GAGGACUCAAAUCAUAGAGGCAGUUCAGCCCAUGCCCAGAAGUACAUCGACAUCAUUGAGCGGUGGUGGAACGACCAGAUGGGUAGAAACUUGUAUCUAGAAGGUAAAAAGAACAUUGAAAAUUAGAUUGUUCCUGUACUUGUAUAAUUUUACUAAGACAAUAACGAACUCUGUGUAGCAUACUAUCUAAACCAUCAGUUCUAAUACAACACAGCUAGAAUCGAUAUGGAUGACGAACUACUGGCCGCUCUGUGUAAUAUCACAACAUAAAGCCUGAUCCAAAAGUCGUAGCUCUAUGUUUAGAAGAGGUAAGUUAACUUAAGUGACAUGUGUAAGUUAACUAGUAUCUCGAUAUCUUCUAUUAUUAACAUAGUACAACACGGUUCUUUUUGAUAAAUCUAAAUAUUUAGAAAGAACAACGAUAGAUUUAGAGUCACAACAGCUGUCGUAAGAAAAAGUAUGAAUCUAGAUAUGUUAUACACCAGGAGGACAUUACCUGGCAUUAGAAGGUUACUAAUAUGGUAGUAUGGUACUAUCUUAUAUCUUAUUUUUUUAAUAUUUUUG